GUUUCAGGGCGGGGUGAAAUUCCCCACUGGCGGUGAUAGUCCGCGACCCGAAGCGAAAGCUUCGGCUGAAUGGGUGUGAUUCCCAUACCAACGGUAUAGUCCGGAUGAAAGAAG
This 114-nucleotide non-coding RNA is filed under the name Harryflintia acetispora. Its description in RNAcentral is "FMN riboswitch (RFN element)". It matches the Rfam family "FMN riboswitch aptamer (RFN element)". Rfam says of the family: The RFN element is a highly conserved domain that is found frequently in the 5'-untranslated regions of prokaryotic mRNAs that encode for flavin mononucleotide (FMN) biosynthesis and transport proteins. This element is a metabolite-dependent riboswitch that directly binds FMN in the absence of proteins. Lineage: Bacteria; Bacillati; Bacillota; Clostridia; Eubacteriales; Oscillospiraceae. The record is from RNAcentral.